GCCUACGGGAGGCAGCAGUGGGGAAUAUUGCGCAAUGGGCGAAAGCCUGACGCAGCGACGCCGCGUGAGGGAUGAAGGUCUUCGGAUCGUAAACCUCUGUCCGCAGGGAAGAACGGUCACUGUGCUAAUCAGCAGUGAAUUGACGGUACCUGCAAAGGAAGCGCCGGCUAACUCCGUGCCAGCAGCCGCGGUAAUACGGAGGGUGCGAGCGUUAAUCGGAAUUACUGGGCGUAAAGCGCUCGUAGGCGGUAUGUCAAGUCAAGGGUGAAAUCCCCGCGCUCAACGUGGGAACUGCCUGUGAAACG
RNAcentral lists this ribosomal RNA (305 nucleotides) under uncultured bacterium. RNAcentral describes it as "bacterial SSU rRNA". It matches the Rfam family "Bacterial small subunit ribosomal RNA", at positions 337 to 634 of the family's 1533-position model. The record is from RNAcentral.